UCUUCCCUCUUUCCUCGUGCCUAAUACAUGCAAGUCGAGCGAACAGACGAGGAGCUUGCUCCUCUGACGUUAGCGGCGGACGGGUGAGUAACACGUGGAUAACCUACCUAUAAGACUGGGAUAACUUCGGGAAACCGGAGCUAAUACCGGAUAAUAUAUUGAACCGCAUGGUUCAAUAGUGAAAGACGGUUUUGCUGUCACUUAUAGAUGGAUCCGCGCCGCAUUAGCUAGUUGGUAAGGUAACGGCUUACCAAGGCAACGAUGCGUAGCCGACCUGAGAGGGUGAUCGGCCACACUGGAACUGAGACACGGUCCAGACUCCUACGGGAGGCAGCAGUAGGGAAUCUUCCGCAAUGGGCGAAAGCCUGACGUAGCAACGCCGCGUGAGUGAUGAAGGUCUUCGGAUCGUAAAACUCUGUUAUUAGGGAAGAACAAAUGUGUAAGUAACUAUGCACGUCUUGACGGUACCUAAUCAGAAAGCCACGGCUAACUACGUG
This 497-nucleotide ribosomal RNA is filed under the name uncultured bacterium. RNAcentral describes it as "partial 16S ribosomal RNA". It matches the Rfam family "Bacterial small subunit ribosomal RNA", at positions 36 to 507 of the family's 1533-position model. The record is from RNAcentral.